This is a long non-coding RNA of Mercenaria mercenaria, 296 nucleotides long. RefSeq lists it as uncharacterized. The record is from RefSeq and is a predicted model, not a curated record. The transcript is spliced from 3 exons. NCBI's taxonomy places the organism in Eukaryota, Metazoa, Mollusca, Bivalvia, Venerida, Veneridae.
UUUUGCAACGCUUUGGGCAGUGGAUUAAGACAAUUUUGGGAACUCAUUUAGCAGCGGGUUGUCAAGUGUGUUUGGACGACGCCGCCGUGAAAUAAGACCACAUGCAAUGACGUCACGCAAACUACAGGUGAUCAGACAUCGUUAUAUGGCCAAACGAGUCCAGGAACUUGAUCCAGAAACCAGACAGUGUAUGGAGCAAUGUAGCGAAUGCACACCCUUCCUUGGAGAUCAAACGGCAUUGAUAGGCGGAGUGUGUGGUGAUCAGAUCUUACUUGACCAAUCAGCAUUGUCGGGGA